UUGAGUGGUUCAGCUCAGCACAAAGAACUAGAGCACAAUGAGGAGUUCUCCUUUGUUAGUAAUCCCACCGCACCUCUCUUCAAGCUAUUUUGUUACUUGCCAGGUCAAAAUAAGAAAGUGAGUCUGCAAAGUUCUCAGCUGUAUUCAUUUCCUGCCUGCCCCAUGGUUAUAUGGCCAGCAUCUCUGAUUAGUUCUAUUUACAUAUUACAUAUAUCACUGUCACAAUUAAUCUACAGGAAGCUGGUUUCUCAGUUGAACCACUCAGUGUUUACAACUAGCUCUCCACAAGUGUACAGCAAUGACAUCAGUGCUCAUUAGACAACUGCGUUUUAAUGACCAGCUUCCGGAAGUGCUCACCUAGGACAGUCACACACAUUUUAAAAUGUGUUUUUUUAAGUGUGGUAUUCACAGGAAAUGCUGAAGGCAGGAAUGUACUCUAAAUCCUGCCCAAAAUAACCUACUGGAUUUAUUUCAGUCCUACAGAAACCCAGAGGGAUUCCUCACAUGACAACCUGCUUUUUUUCGAAGAGGAAGAUUUUAGCAAUCCAUGCUAAGUGCAAGAAACAGCAAGUACUGGGCUGUGUUUUCUGGUCCUUCUGUGAAAGGUGUGGAAGAACAGAAUGGAGAGAUGAUCAGGCAAGAGGGCUGUGACUCCUGGUCCACUGAAUAUUAGCCAUGAGAUCAAACUCCCUGCAGCAGACAAGGGAAUAAAAUCUGUUUUACAUCAGAACUGAGUCUGCUAUCACUGAGCUACUGUGUGGUUUCAGCAGAGCCCUCAUGCUGGAUGUCAGUCAUGUCCUCACUUGGCUUUUCCAGAUUCCAAAAUAUCUCAGGGAUGCUGCAGCACAGGUUGAACUACUACGUCAGGCAUUGUCAAUCCUCCAUAAUGCAGAACUAGGGAAGCCAUAAGGAGCAUUUCAUAUUAAAAAGGCAGCUCUGCAGUGAACAGGGCUACUCCAGAGCUGGGAGAGCACUCAAAACAGGUUUGGAAGGUCACACCUAGGUAUUUAGGAUGAAACUAGGCAGGACCUAAGAGCUUAGGUUCUACUGUAAAGCCGCCCUUGAUGGCUGCAGUGUUGCAGCAUGUGCUCUCUCAGUAUAAUACUGAGGCACUGAUACAGAUAGACCUAAUACUGCCUAUUUAAAGCACAACUAAAAUUUCCGCAAUAAUACUUUCUUCAGCUUAUAUGUUAUUAUAUUUUAUUCACUGUUACUUCUUCCUGAUAGUACAUUGUUCUGAUGUCCUGAUUUAGCUGACGUAAAUAGUCCUAGCUUUUACAAAUUAGUAUGGUGGAUUGCUCAUCACAGCAGUAAAAAAAUUGGUACCAAACAACUAAAAAAUUAAGUCUCUCAAUCCUCACUAAAUAGAUAUAUGUAUAUAAAUAUAUUAUCUUCUAAGUCUGUCAAAAGAAGACAGCGUCUUAAGAUUUUAAAGCUCCUAGUCACUUUGAUUUUUCUCUUCAGUAAUUACCCAAAGAAGUUCACUACUAAAAUUAGAUAUAACUUAAUAAUAAUUCCAGGUCAAAUUUGAAUGAGUAUGACAUCUUCAGAAUGACAGAGAAAUUUUCCAGGAAGGUUCAACUAUUUUUUGAGGAUUGAGAAAAGUUGUAUUCUAAAAGACAAGCUGGGGCAGUUUUAUUUCCUAGACAAUGAAAGUUUUGCAGUACUAGUUUCCUUUUCCUCCUCCCAAUCUGUUAUAAAUCUUCUCUUAUGAGGAGGCUGGCUUCAAGGUAGGGACGCUCAUUGUCAGCAUUCACUGGCCAGUCAUAGUCUCUUGUCUUCUUAACUAAUACCAGAAUUUCCAAUAAAAGUCAUCGGUUAUCAAGCAUCAGGGUAACACUGGCUUUCCCAAAACUGCCAUCCAGUUUCUUCUUCAGAUUUGCAAGAACCCUUAAGAAAAGCUUGCUGGUUUGCCUAACACAGUAAUAUGCUGAGGGCUGUGAAUCUUAGUUAGCCUUCAGAAAAGCUUCAGGCAUAGCAGAGGUAAAGCUCUGCUCUAGUAAAGUACUUAUGCGUAUGUUUAAUUUCAGUCAUACAAAAAAGCUUAUCCGAUGAAAUUUGCUGUGUUGGAUUGGAGACUACGUGAUCUGGCUAAGAUCUGAGACAUUUUGGGAUGCAGCAGAUGUGAGUAGCAACAUAAGAAAGAAUUGAACCCACUCUGAAUGCUAGGCAGCAGUAUGGAUUUUAUGGAUUCC
This 2195-nucleotide long non-coding RNA is filed under the name Accipiter nisus (Eurasian sparrowhawk). RNAcentral's name for it is "lncRNA (ENSANIG00000015885.1)". The record is from RNAcentral. Lineage: Eukaryota; Metazoa; Chordata; Aves; Accipitriformes; Accipitridae.